ACGGCUGCCCCCUGGGGGGGGCUCGGGGGGUCCCACGCUGCAGCUCUGCCUGGAGGGCGCCGACGCCGCGUGGUUCUACCUGGAUGGGAGCAGCAUGAGGCUGAACGCCUCCAAUGGGCGCUGCCUGGACCGCGAGGAGCUGGAGUCCCCGGUGCUGAUGGUGGCUCUGAUCUGCGCUGAGGACGGCUCUGCUCCGGUGGAGUACCGGGUCAUCGUGCAGGUCCUCAAUGAGAACGACAACCGACCCCGCUUCCGUGGGGACCCCAACCUCACCCACAACGUCAGCGAGGUGAUGGGGGGCGGCCAUGGGGUGGGGAUGGGGUGGACAUGGGGACAAUGGUGGGGGCAGGAUGGAUGUGGGGACAGGUUGGACGUGGGGACAGGUUGGACACGGGGACGGUGGUGGAGAGUGGAUGGGUGUGGGGACAGGAUGGACGUGGGGACGGGACAGACAUGGGGACAGGACAGACAUGGGGGCAGUGGUGGGACUGGAUGGACAUGGGGACAGGAUGGACAUGGGGACAGGCUGGACGUGGGGACAGGUUGGGCAUAGGAAGAGUGGUGGAGACUGGAUGGGUGUGGGGACACAGGUGGAACUAGGGACAGGGGUGGCCAUGGGGACAAGGAAGGCAUAGGAAUGGGGACAGGGAUGGCCAUGGGGACAAGGACAGGCAUAGGAAUGGGGACAGGGGUGGCCAUGGGGACAAGGACAGGCAUAGGAAUGGGGACAGGGGUGGCCAUGGGGACAAGGGUGGCCAUAAGAGUGGGGACACGUGGGGACAGGGACUGCCAUGAGUACUGGGGUGCCCAUAGGAAUGGGGACAGAGUUGGGGACAAGGAUGGCCAUGAGGACUGGGGUGGG
This 862-nucleotide long non-coding RNA is filed under the name Chrysolophus pictus (golden pheasant). Its description in RNAcentral is "lncRNA (ENSCPIG00010008222.1)". Lineage: Eukaryota; Metazoa; Chordata; Aves; Galliformes; Phasianidae. The record is from RNAcentral.